UUUGGAUGGUUCUUGGUAUGUGUAUAGUUCAAAGGUCUUCGUGUUCACAUUUUAAAAUUAGGUUUGUAGCCAGUCCU
Molecule: long non-coding RNA, 77 nt
Organism: Neopelma chrysocephalum (saffron-crested tyrant-manakin)
Lineage: Eukaryota; Metazoa; Chordata; Aves; Passeriformes; Pipridae
Exons: 3
Source: RefSeq, a predicted model, not a curated record